Molecule: long non-coding RNA, 1114 nt
Organism: Portunus trituberculatus (swimming crab)
Lineage: Eukaryota; Metazoa; Arthropoda; Malacostraca; Decapoda; Portunidae
Exons: 3
Source: RefSeq, a predicted model, not a curated record
AGCAGUGAGGCACAAGAGAACGAUUUGUUCAGUAGGCGUUGUGCGGGUAAGACGUGUGUGCACCAAGAAGUGUGUCUGCUCGCUGCUUUGUCACCAGUCCGAUUAACGUGAAGUGUAUACAACAAGGGAGAAGUCGGGUCUUGCCGGCCAUCCUCUAAACCUGGGCGAACAAGUCUCAGGCGUCAGUCAGAUGGAGCACGUCCCGCCACGAAUCUGGCACCGGCGUCCCUACAUCUGCUCACUACCAACUUGGUAGAGCCUCUGUUUCACUCGAGCUAACGCGUCAGCUACAGCAACGCUCGAGUCAGACCUGCACCCGCCCAAGCGUCUGAUAAGCCCAGGCAUCCUCUUCUGUCUGUGUCCAUGUGAUAGCAGUCCAUCUCCAGGUCGCCCUCUUCAAAAGAGGGCGUUGACAGUGGAGACGUGCGGUCCUGGCGGUCCAGCAUAGGUCCUGCCACUACUGAAGAGAGAACCAAACCAGCGUCUUAAUCACACCCAACUUGCGGCAAGAAAUUUUCUCUCGUUGCACUGGAAGAAGCCAACGGUCUCGCUGCAUCUUCCAUGGAGGAAUUGGACCCUGCCUCGCACCAGCUCUGCCAUGAUAACGUGCUGCCAUCAAGGGAGGACACUGCCUCGCUGCACCUUCCAUGGAGGAAUUGGACCCUGCCUCGCACCAGCUCUGCCAUGAUAACGUGCUGCCAUCAAGGGAGGACACUGCCUCGCUGCACCUUCCAUGGAGGAAUUGGACCCUGCCUCGCACCAGCUCUGCCAUAACGUGCUGCCAUCAAGGGAGGACACUGCCUCGCUGCACCUUCCAUGGAGGAAUUGGACCCUGUCUCGCACCAACUCUGCCCUGAUAACGUGCUGCCAUCAAGGGAGGACACUGCCUCGCUGCACCUUCCAUGGAGGAAUUGGACCCUGCCUCGCAUCAGCGCUGCCCUGACAAGUGGUGCCAUCCAGGAAGAGAGGACAUAUUAUAUUGCCUUGCUUCAUCUAACCUAACCUAACAAAUACAUGUUGCGAAUCACUCUUGUAAUGUUAUUCCUUCCAUGUUCUGAUGUGCCCACAUAACUGGUGUUAUACUUUAAUAAUAAAUAAAGAUUAAGGAAAUUGA